RNAcentral lists this ribosomal RNA (546 nucleotides) under Solicoccozyma terrea. Its description in RNAcentral is "LSU rRNA". It matches the Rfam family "Eukaryotic large subunit ribosomal RNA", at positions 63 to 616 of the family's 3401-position model. The record is from RNAcentral. Lineage: Eukaryota; Fungi; Basidiomycota; Tremellomycetes; Filobasidiales; Piskurozymaceae.
AACUACAGGAUUCCCUAGUAACGGCGAGUGAAGCGGGAAAAGCUCAAAUUUGAAAUCUGGUAGCCUCAGGCUGCCCGAGUUGUAAUCUAUAGAAACGUUUUCCGCGUUGGCCCAUGUACAAGUCUCCUGGAAUGGAGCGUCAUAGAGGGUGAGAAUCCCGUCCUUGACAUGGACUACCAAUGCUUUGUGAUACGUUUUCAAAGAGUCGAGUUGUUUGGGAAUGCAGCUCAAAAUGGGUGGUAAAUUCCAUCUAAAGCUAAAUAUUGGCGAGAGACCGAUAGCGAACAAGUACCGUGAGGGAAAGAUGAAAAGCACUUUGGAAAGAGAGUUAAACAGUAUGUGAAAUUGUUGAAAGGGAAACGAUUGAAGUCAGUCAUGUCUAUUGGACUCAGCCGGUUCUGCCGGUGUACUUCCUUUAGAUGGGGUCAACAUCAGUUUUGAUCGCUGGAAAAGGGCAGGAGGAAUGUAGCACUCUCGGGUGAACUUAUAGCCUUCUGUCGUAUACAGUGGUUGGGACUGAGGAACGCAGCAUGCCUUUAUGGCCGG